RNAcentral lists this unclassified non-coding RNA (422 nucleotides) under Hevea brasiliensis (rubber tree). Lineage: Eukaryota; Viridiplantae; Streptophyta; Magnoliopsida; Malpighiales; Euphorbiaceae. The record is from RNAcentral.
CAUCGCGCAGCGCGGCUCACUGGUCGCGCCGGAACGGCUGCGGUUCGACUUCGCGCACAACAAGCCGAUCACGGCGGACGAACUGCGCCGCAUCGAGGAUAUUGCCAACGAUGUCGUGCUGGAGAACGGCGAGGUCGUCACCCGCUCGAUGGCGGUGGACGAUGCGCGGGAUUCCGGCGCGCGGGCGCUGUUCGGGGAGAAAUACGGCGACGAAGUGCGCGUGGUGUCGAUGGGCGCGGGCAAGGGCAAUGCGCUCGGCUGGUCGGUCGAACUGUGCGGCGGCACCCAUGUGCGGCGUACCGGCGACAUUGGCCUGAUCUCCAUCAGCGGCGAAAGCGCGGUGGCUUCGGGCGUGCGGCGUAUCGAGGCGCUGACCGGAAACAAUGCGCGUCACGCCGUGAAUGCAACCAUUCACACCGCGA